UAAAUUUAUUUUAUUUUUAUUUAUUUAUUAUAUUUUGAAUUUCAGAAACUUCAAAUCACUGUCCUCCAGCUUUACAAACCGGGGUUUAAACACUGUUUAAGAACAAGAACCAGCACGAGCUUCUGGAACUAUUUGUGCGAAUUAAGCCAUUUGUGCGUGUUUGUCUGGGUGCUGACACAUUUGGCUGGAACGUUGUGUACUUUUUGUACGGAACCAAAACGCAUGCCUUCGAUGGUGUUGGUAGAAUACGGCAAGAUAGGAGAAGAGAGAGCGCUCGCAAAACUGCUACAGAGAGUACACAGUACAAAGGGAGGUUGUUUAGGUGGACCGUGUUAUUGAGAGAAUUCUUUAAGUAUCCUAUCCUCCAAAUUGCACAGUGGAAGCAUUAAUGAUCCAAAACAACAACAUAAACAGACAAUUCUUUUAGUAAACAGACCAACUUGAGGAUCCUGAGCAGCAAAGUGCUACUCUCAAUAUUGGCAAUCGUCAGAGAGACUGAGAGAAACAGUUGUGAAUGGGUCCAAUAAGAAAAUGUUCACUUGUGCAUGCUGGCAGAAUUGGUGCCCAGUGAGUUAAACAAAGAUGAAUGGAGCGGUGAAAUAAAAGGGGCUAGCUUCUACUGAUGACGCACAGAUGGCGGCGUAGAUUGGGUCUGGAGUGUUGCAUACUUCUGGGAGAACAGUAAUGCUCUAGAAUGAUUUAAUGUGGUUGCAUAAAUUUGAGAACAAAAAUGUGAAGACCGUUUUAGGAAGCUUACCACAAUAAGCUCAUGAAAUGAUUCUAUUACAAUUUACUUUUAAUGAUGCACUUAUUCCCUGGCAAUAAGAUCGAUCAUUACAAAGUUUUUGAUGAUAGGUUUAUUAUGCAUAAAUCUUUUUAAAAAUCGCAUACGCAUGGAGAUGGUGCGGGUUGCAGAGUGGAUUUCGGCAUGUUUUCAUGCUGAUUGUCCAGCCAGAUUGCUUAGAAAAUGGUUAAAGGGAAUUAAAACCAAUUCUAUCCGAACAGGACAAGCAGCACCAUGGCAGGUUCUGCCAAAAUCCAUACUGCAUAGACACAAAUCUCUGAGAUAAUGAUAUUUAUUAACAAUUUUAAUGACAUUUAGCAUCAUAAGUUCGUGCAUACAAGGGUGGAAAAUAGAUUUGACAUCUUAUAAAAAUGAAGUCAAACAAAAAUUUUGGGUUUUGGACUUCCUCACUGAGGUAAGGUUAUAAUUCUGCUCUAAAAAUGAACUUUUCAUAUAAGCUCGUAGACCCACCUUCGCAUAAACCUAUCAUCUGCCCGUCUAUGUGCAUGUAUGUGUGUCUGUGUGUUACCAAUUGUCACUCAGUUUUCUCAGCACUUUCUGAACCGAUUUAGGCCAAGCUGGUCGCAUUUGACUAGGUUUAGGAUCUAAUAGAUAGAGUUAAAAAAAAGUUUUGAUAAGAAGUUUAAAAAAACUAACUUUAAUCGAAAACGGAAAAAAACUGCAGGGAAUUCAGAAAAAAGAAAUUUAAAGAGAUAAAAAUAAGAAAAUAUUUGUACUGUUACAUUAAUUAAAUCCAUCGUGAUACAAAUUCUUCAGCCAGCUCUGAAAACUCUUCGCCAGUGAUCCCACGUGGGCAGCAAAUCUGCCCACUUCAAAGAAUUUCAAAAGCCGUUUCACACUUCCGGGUUGGGGUUUGGUGUGCAGCACUUGAGCAUUUGAACUUCACUGUGGCCAGCAAACAUAGGACGUAUUUUCAUUUUUUAUUGCACUGUUGCAUAGUUUUUUUCAUUCGAAAAAUCAUAGCAAGAACGUCAAAAGAAAAGUCAAACAUCAAAAGAAUCUCGCUGGUGGUUCUAGUUCGACAAUUAUCUUGAGUUUACAUGCUUUUCUCACUUGAACAACUUUUUCGGAACUUUUGUAGCGAGGUCAUAUGGUUAGCCAAUGGUGCUUCUGAAGUUUACUUUGUCUGGUACAAUUCUGAACAAAUU
This is a long non-coding RNA of Culex pipiens pallens (northern house mosquito), 1953 nucleotides long. RefSeq lists it as uncharacterized. The transcript is spliced from 3 exons. The record is from RefSeq and is a predicted model, not a curated record. NCBI's taxonomy places the organism in Eukaryota, Metazoa, Arthropoda, Insecta, Diptera, Culicidae.